This 274-nucleotide ribosomal RNA is filed under the name uncultured bacterium. Its description in RNAcentral is "partial 16S ribosomal RNA". It matches the Rfam family "Bacterial small subunit ribosomal RNA", at positions 523 to 796 of the family's 1533-position model. The record is from RNAcentral.
AUACGGAGGGGGUUAGCGUUGUUCGGAAUUACUGGGCGUAAAGCGCACGUAGGCGGAUUGGAAAGUUGGGGGUGAAAUCCCAGGGCUCAACCCUGGAACUGCCUCCAAAACUAACAGUCUAGAGUUCGAGAGAGGUGAGUGGAAUUCCAAGUGUAGAGGUGAAAUUCGUAGAUAUUUGGAGGGACACCAGUGGCGAAGGCGGCUCACUGGCUCGAUACUGACGCUGAGGUGCGAAAGCGUGGGGAGCAAACAGGAUUAGAUACCCGGGUAGUCC